GCGGACGUGGUGGAAUGGUAGACACCGGAGACUUAAAAUCUCCUGGCCUUAUGGCCGUGCGGGUUCGAGUCCCGCCGUCCGCACCA
This 86-nucleotide transfer RNA is filed under the name Phaeobacter gallaeciensis. RNAcentral's name for it is "tRNA-Leu". It matches the Rfam family "tRNA". Rfam says of the family: Transfer RNA (tRNA) molecules are approximately 80 nucleotides in length. Their secondary structure includes four short double-helical elements and three loops (D, anti-codon, and T loops). Further hydrogen bonds mediate the characteristic L-shaped molecular structure. tRNAs have two regions of fundamental functional importance: the anti-codon, which is responsible for specific mRNA codon recognition, and the 3' end, to which the tRNAs corresponding amino acid is attached (by aminoacyl-tRNA synthetases). tRNAs cope with the degeneracy of the genetic code in two manners: having more than one tRNA (with a specific anti-codon) for a particular amino acid; and 'wobble' base-pairing, i.e. permitting non-standard base-pairing at the 3rd anti-codon position. Lineage: Bacteria; Pseudomonadati; Pseudomonadota; Alphaproteobacteria; Rhodobacterales; Roseobacteraceae. The record is from RNAcentral. RNAcentral also lists the same sequence under 20 other names.